UGAUAAGUGCUAGAUGUUCAUGACAACUUUGAAGAAGGAUGCUCGAUAAUGGAUGAUAACAUUAGCUCCGAACUCAAUCUCGUCGUGGAAAGAACUCUAUGAUAAGUUCCACGUCAGAUUCGGUGGCAACAAGAGGAGAGAAAAACCAACUGGGUUGUUAGCCCAGAUCAAGCAAUACUCAAAUGAGACUGUAGGACAAGUUAUAGAUUUAAAUGAUCCUUAGGUCCUUGGACUAUUUCAAAAUGGUUUAGGUGUCGUGAAAGCAAAGAAGCUGGUAAAAAAAAUUUGAUGUUCAACCAUCUAAAGGAUCUAGCCGAAGUUUUUGAUAUAGCCGAAGGCUUUAU
RNAcentral lists this long non-coding RNA (344 nucleotides) under Panax ginseng (ginseng). Its description in RNAcentral is "long non-coding RNA (PGIN_LNC001469)". The record is from RNAcentral. Lineage: Eukaryota; Viridiplantae; Streptophyta; Magnoliopsida; Apiales; Araliaceae.